RNAcentral lists this ribosomal RNA (468 nucleotides) under uncultured bacterium. Its description in RNAcentral is "partial 16S ribosomal RNA". It matches the Rfam family "Bacterial small subunit ribosomal RNA", at positions 28 to 507 of the family's 1533-position model. The record is from RNAcentral.
GACGAACGCUGGCGGCGUGCUUAACACAUGCAAGUCGAACGGAAAGGCCCUGCUUUUGUGGGGUGCUCGAGUGGCGAACGGGUGAGUAACACGUGAGUAACCUGCCCUUGACUUUGGGAUAACUUCAGGAAACUGGGGCUAAUACCGGAUAGGAGCUCCUGCUGCAUGGUGGGGGUUGGAAAGUUUCGGCGGUUGGGGAGGGACUCGCGGCUUAUCAGCUUGUUGGUGGGGUAGUGGCUUACCAAGGCUUUGACGGGUAGCCGGCCUGAGAGGGUGACCGGCAACAUUGGGAAUGAGAUACGGCCCAGACUCCUACGGGAGGCAGCAGUGGGGAAUAUUGCACAAUGGGCGGAAGCCUGAUGCAGCAACGCCGCGUGCGGGAUGACGGCCUUCGGGUUGUAAACCGCUUUCGCCUGUGACGAAGCGUGAGUGACGGUAAUGGGUAAAGAAGCACCGGCUAACUACGUG